CAACAUCGUACAUCGGGAGGACGCCAUUGUCCACAGACGGCCUGAGAAAUAAGAAUCACUAAUGUGACACUAGAAGAUGAAGGAUGAUACGAAUGUUUCAUCCCAAAGUUAAAGAGUCAAACAAGGUUUUCAGUUGUUUGUCUGAUUGUUGCUAAAAACAGGACAACAGAGAUGCCACUCAGUCCCAAAGAUGUCAAAACUCCUGCUCUGAUGGAACAGAUGGUUGCUAAAGGUCAAUAAAUUACUGCCACUCUUGGAGCUUUGCUGAAGGGAAGCUGAAAGGAAAUCCCACAUCUCUGUCAUUCAUUUGACAAUUACAACGAUCGGCUCCUACACAAGGGAAGGUUUCAUCGUAUGGACCGAAACAAACUGUAUUCAGAAAGUUACAGAAAGCUGUUUGAUUCUGAAUUCAUAAACUGUCUGAUGCCUUA
Long non-coding RNA from Oreochromis aureus, 431 nucleotides. Lineage: Eukaryota; Metazoa; Chordata; Actinopteri; Cichliformes; Cichlidae. The record is from Ensembl.